Non-coding RNA from Pelobates cultripes (western spadefoot toad), 415 nucleotides. NCBI's taxonomy places the organism in Eukaryota, Metazoa, Chordata, Amphibia, Anura, Pelobatidae. The record is from the annotation of a GenBank genome assembly.
AUUGUCUCUGUCCCCUUAGCAGUUUACAAUGCAGAGUUUAGACUGCCUCUAGUUGCUGUCUCCAAGACAGCCACAAUAGGCACUUCCUCCAUUUACACACUUUGCAUAUGUACGUUCAGUGUCCUCAUAACAGAUUCAAUGCUUUCCUAUGAGAAAGGCCUAGUGCGCACACAAUAGCUACUCCCCAAUGCGAAAUGUCUUUGGCACUGGAAAGAGUUAAGAGUUUAAAUUUUUUUUUAAUCCAUUCAACACUUGGGGGAGGAUUAUGGCUGAGGGAUACUACAACGUUAGGAAUACAAGAGUGUAUUCCCAACGCAAUAGUGUUCCUUUAAUUUACAAUGAAUGUGUUGAGAAAUCAGUCUUUUGUAAUAUGUUUUUCAAAAAUAUUGUUCAAUAAAAAUAAUUUGAUAAUAAA